Molecule: ribosomal RNA, 523 nt
Filed under: uncultured bacterium
Lineage: Bacteria
Description: partial 16S ribosomal RNA
Rfam family: Bacterial small subunit ribosomal RNA
Source: RNAcentral
GACGAACGCUGGCGGCGUGCCUAAUACAUGCAAGUCGAACGCUUUUUCUUUCACCGGAGCUUGCUCCACCGAAAGAAAAAGAGUGGCGAACGGGUGAGUAACACGUGGGUAACCUGCCCAUCAGAAGGGGAUAACACUUGGAAACAGGUGCUAAUACCGUAUAACACUAUUUUCCGCAUGGAAGAAAGUUGAAAGGCGCUUUUGCGUCACUGAUGGAUGGACCCGCGGUGCAUUAGCUAGUUGGUGAGGUAACGGCUCACCAAGGCAACGAUGCAUAGCCGACCUGAGAGGGUGAUCGGCCACACUGGGACUGCGACCCGGCCCAGGCUCCUACGGGAGGCAGCAGUAGGGAAUCUUCGGCAAUGGACGAAAGUCUGACCGAGCAACGCCGCGUGAGUGAAGAAGGUUUUCGGAUCGUAAAACUCUGUUGUUAGAGAAGAACAAGGAUGAGAGUAAAACGUUCAUCCCUUGACGGUAUCUAACCAGAAAGCCACGGCUAACUACGUGCCAGCAGCCGCCGUAA